This 74-nucleotide transfer RNA is filed under the name Candidatus Methanovirga aequatorialis. Its description in RNAcentral is "tRNA-Met". It matches the Rfam family "tRNA". Rfam says of the family: Transfer RNA (tRNA) molecules are approximately 80 nucleotides in length. Their secondary structure includes four short double-helical elements and three loops (D, anti-codon, and T loops). The record is from RNAcentral. Lineage: Archaea; Methanobacteriati; Methanobacteriota; Methanobacteria; Methanobacteriales; Methanobacteriaceae.
GCCGGGGUGGCUCAGCUGGUUAGAGCGCACGGCUCAUAACCGUGAGGCCACGGGUUCGAGUCCCGUUCCCGGCA